This 626-nucleotide ribosomal RNA is filed under the name uncultured fungus. RNAcentral's name for it is "eukaryotic LSU rRNA". It matches the Rfam family "Eukaryotic large subunit ribosomal RNA", at positions 24 to 664 of the family's 3401-position model. Lineage: Eukaryota; Fungi. The record is from RNAcentral.
CCCGCUGAACUUAAGCAUAUCAAUAAGCGGAGGAAAAGAAACCAACAGGGAUUGCCUCAGUAACGGCGAGUGAAGCGGCAACAGCUCAAAUUUGAAAUCUGGCUCUUUCAGGGUCCGAGUUGUAAUUUGUAGAAGAUGCUUCGGGUGUGGCUCCGGUCUAAGUUCCUUGGAACAGGACGUCAUAGAGGGUGAGAAUCCCGUAUGUGACUGGCUGCCUUCGCCUAUGUGAGGCUCUUUCGACGAGUCGAGUUGUUUGGGAAUGCAGCUCAAAAUGGGUGGUAAAUUUCAUCUAAAGCUAAAUAUUGGCCAGAGACCGAUAGCGCACAAGUAGAGUGAUCGAAAGAUGAAAAGCACUUUGGAAAGAGAGUUAAACAGUACGUGAAAUUGUUGAAAGGGAAGCGCUUGCAACCAGACUUGCACUUGGUCGAUCAUCCGAGGUUCUCCCCGGUGCACUCGAUCUCGUUCAGGCCAGCAUCGGUUCAGGUGGUGGGAUAAAGGCCUUGGGAAUGUAGCUUCUUUCGGGGAGUGUUAUAGCCCUCGGUGCAAUGCCGCCUACCUGGACCGAGGACCGCGCUUCGGCUAGGAUGCUGGCGUAAUGGUUGUAAGCGACCCGUCUUGAAACACGG